Molecule: transfer-messenger RNA, 400 nt
Filed under: Tannerella sp.
Lineage: Bacteria; Pseudomonadati; Bacteroidota; Bacteroidia; Bacteroidales; Tannerellaceae
Rfam family: transfer-messenger RNA
About the family: Bacterial tmRNA, also known as 10Sa RNA or SsrA, is named for its dual tRNA and mRNA-like properties. Its role is to liberate the mRNA from a stalled ribosome.
Source: RNAcentral
GGGGCUGACCGGUUUUGACAGCGGGUAGAAAGGGUUUGUAAGCAUGCAGUGCUUCGUUGGCCGGCACUAUAAUCUCGGAUGACAAACAAUUAACUGGCGAAAACAACUACGCUCUCGCUGCGUGAUCGAAGAAAUAGUAGAUCAUGCUUAAUCCUUACACAAGGUGUUUGGACGGGAUAUCACCCGGAUGCUCUGGCUUCGAAGCGAUCCGAAUCGGUGGUACGGCAAUAUCGGAGAUAGUCUGAAAAAAGUCCCGGUUUUUCAGGCGAAAUACAGGGAAUAAGGUGGCAGUUGGUGGCUUCGGUCUUGCUGUCGCUCGAAAAUAAAGUCGAAGAUAAGCAUGUAGAAAGCAGAUCGGUUCCUCGUUUGGACGAGAGUUCGAGUCUCUCCAGCUCCACAG